RNAcentral lists this ribosomal RNA (502 nucleotides) under uncultured bacterium. Its description in RNAcentral is "partial 16S ribosomal RNA". It matches the Rfam family "Bacterial small subunit ribosomal RNA", at positions 355 to 866 of the family's 1533-position model. The record is from RNAcentral.
UGGGGAAUAUUGCACAAUGGGCGAAAGCCUGAUGCAGCAACGCCGCGUGAGGGACGACGGCCUUCGGGUUGUAAACCUCUUUAGCAAGGAAGAAGCGAAAGUGACGGUACUUGCAGAAAAAGCGCCGGCUAACUACGUGCCAGCAGCCGCGGUAAUACGUAGGGCGCAAGCGUUAUCCGGAAUUAUUGGGCGUAAAGAGCUCGUAGGCGGUUUGUCGCGUCUGCUGUGAAAACCCGAGGCUCAACCUCGGGCCUGCAGUGGGUACGGGCAGACUAGAGUGCGGUAGGGGAGAUUGGAACUCCUGGUGUAGCGGUGGAAUGCGCAGAUAUCAGGAAGAACACCGAUGGCGAAGGCAGAUCUCUGGGCCGUAACUGACGCUGAGGAGCGAAAGGGUGGGGAGCAAACAGGGCUUAGAAUGACCCUGGUAGUCCACCCCGUAAACGUGGGAACUAGUUGUGGGGUCCAUUCCACGGAUUCCGUGACGCAGCUAACGCAUUAAGUU